RNAcentral lists this ribosomal RNA (305 nucleotides) under uncultured bacterium. Its description in RNAcentral is "bacterial SSU rRNA". It matches the Rfam family "Bacterial small subunit ribosomal RNA", at positions 337 to 656 of the family's 1533-position model. The record is from RNAcentral.
ACCUACGGGGGGCAGCAGUGGGGAAUAUUGGGCAAUGGGCGCAAGCCUGACCCAGCAACGCCGCGUGAAGGAAGAAGGCUUUCGGGUUGUAAACUUCUUUUGUCAGGGACGAAGCAAGUGACGGUACCUGACGAAUAAGCCACGGCUAACUACGUGCCAGCAGCCGCGGUAAUACGUAGGAUCCGAGCGUUAUCCGGAUUUAUUGGGUUUAAAGGGAGCGUAGACGGCUGUGCAAGUCUGAAGUGAAAGGCCGGGGCCCAACCCCGGGAGUGCUUUGGAAACUGUGCGGCUAGAGUGUCGGAGAG